CCUACGAGAGGCAGCAGUGAGGAAUAUUGGUCAAUGGCCGCAGGGCUGAACCCGCCAAGUCGCGUGAGGGAUGACGGUCCUAUGGAUUGUAAACUUCUUUUGUCAGGGAGCAAAGGGCGCCAUGGGUUGCGUUUUGCGAGUACCUUAAGAAAAAGCAUCGUCUAACUCGGUGCCAGCAGCCGCGGUAAUAUGGGGGAUUCGAGUUUUAUCCGGAUUUAUUGGGUUUAAGGGGUGCGUAGGCGGAAUGGAAAUUCAGCGGUAAAGUUUGGGGGCUAAACCCAGUCGUGCCGUUGAUACUGGCGUUCUUGAGUGCGCGAGAAGUAUGCGGAAUGCGUGGUGUAGCGGUGAAAUGCAUAGAUAUCACGCAGAACUCCGAUUGCGAAGGCAGCCUACUGGAGCUCAACUGACGCUCAUGCACGAAAGCGUGGGUAUCGAACAGGAUUAGAUACCCUAGUAGUC
This 459-nucleotide ribosomal RNA is filed under the name uncultured bacterium. Its description in RNAcentral is "partial 16S ribosomal RNA". It matches the Rfam family "Bacterial small subunit ribosomal RNA", at positions 338 to 795 of the family's 1533-position model. The record is from RNAcentral.